UACGGAGGAUGCAAGCGUUAUCCGGAAUGAUUGGGCGUAAAGCGUCCGCAGGUGGCUAUGUAAGUCUGCUGUUAAAGAGUCUGGCUCAACCAGAUAAAGGCAGUGGAAACUACAUGGCUAGAGUGCGUUCGGGGCAGAGGGAAUUCCUGGUGUAGCGGUGAAAUGCGUAGAUAUCAUUUGGAACGCCAAUGGUGAAAACAGGUUGCUGGGGGUGUGCUGACGCUGAGACACGAGAGCCAGGGGAGCGAACGGG
Molecule: ribosomal RNA, 253 nt
Filed under: uncultured bacterium
Lineage: Bacteria
Description: partial 16S ribosomal RNA
Rfam family: Bacterial small subunit ribosomal RNA
Source: RNAcentral